Molecule: long non-coding RNA, 1358 nt
Filed under: Human gammaherpesvirus 8
Lineage: Duplodnaviria; Heunggongvirae; Peploviricota; Herviviricetes; Herpesvirales; Orthoherpesviridae
Source: RNAcentral
GCGGCGGCACGUAGGACGGAUCUCUUGGAUUUACCUGUAACGAGGAGCGGCGCACCCCAGGAGCCCCGGCAGCACCCCAGGAGCCCCGGCAGCACCCCAGGAGCCCCGGCAGCACCCCAGGAGCCCCGGCAGCACCCCAGGAGCCCCGGCAGCACCCCAGGAGCCCCGGCAGCACCCCRGGAGCCCCGGCAGCACCCCAGGAGCCCCGGCAGCACCCCGGGAGCCCCGGCAGCACCCCAGGAGCCCCGGUACGCAACCCUCCCCCGGGAACCCCGGCAGCACCCCGGGAACCCCGGCAGCACCCCAGGAACCCCGGCAGCACCCCAGGAGCCCCGGCAGCACCCCAGGAGCCCCGGCAGCACCCCAGGAACCCCGGCAGCACCCCAGGARCCCCGGCAGCACCCCAGGAGCCCCGGCAGCACCCCAGGARCCCCGGCAGCACCCCAGGAGCCCCGGCAGCACCCCAGGAGCCCCGGCAGCACCCCAGGAGCCCCGGUACGCAACCCUCCCCCGGGAACCCCGGCAGCACCCCGGGAGCCCCGGCAGCACCCCAGGAGCCCCGGCAGCACCCCAGGAGCCCCGGCAGCACCCCAGGAGCCCCGGCAGCACCCCAGGAGCCCCGGCAGCACCCCAGGAGCCCCGGCGCCACCCUCCCCCCGGAGGGGGAUCCCGGCGCGCCACCCUCCCCCCGGAGGGGGAUCCCGGCGCGCCACCCUCCCCCCGGAGGGGGAUCCCGGCGCGCCACCCUCCCCCCGGAGGGGGAUCCCGGCGCGCCACCCUCCCCCCGGAGGGGGAUCCCGGCGCGCCACCCUCCCCGGCAACAACCUGUUGCCAUGUAUUGCGAUUUGUAUCAGUCACAAGCACACAACCCCUUCUAGUAUUAAUGAUGUUUAAAACGUUCUACACGUACGGCGGACCGCAUCCGUCGCAAGCACGCGCAUAUAACCCCCAAAUGCACCAUGAUGAGAAGCACAGCCACGCGUCAAAAAAGUUUAAAAACAUCGUUAUCCAAUAUUAAAAACCACACCGAAAUUUACACAGGUGGCACGUUACCGUGUUAGUGUCACCCACUGUACACAAGGCGUGUCGUAUAUGUAGUAUAGGUAUUUGAUGAGGCGGAAGCAUAUCCCGCUUCCAGCGAACGGAAAUAAGGAUCAUCCGUUCCAGCAUUUAUUCAAAGGGGGCACAGAGGGUUCACAUUGUUUAGAGAGAGUUUUUCUUAGUAACCAUUCCAUACUUUGGCAGUAUUGGCCUACGAUUUGGGCGACGUUUCAGGCUGGUCUAUUCUCCGUCCACUUUUCCCCGGCUAUUCUAUCCCAGCAUAGGCUCUUGAAAUAAACAAUGUUUACCGAGUAAAA